This 304-nucleotide ribosomal RNA is filed under the name uncultured bacterium. RNAcentral's name for it is "partial 16S ribosomal RNA". It matches the Rfam family "Bacterial small subunit ribosomal RNA", at positions 506 to 807 of the family's 1533-position model. The record is from RNAcentral.
CAGCAGUAGCCACGGUAAUCCGAGGGGGGCAAGCGUUGUUCGGAAUUAUUGGGCGUAAAGGGUGCGUAGGCGGUUUGACAAGUUCUGUGUGAAAUCCCUGGGCUCAACCCAGGGUCUGCACGGAAAACUGUCAGACUUGAGGAUGGGAGAGGUGAGUGGAAUUUCCGGUGUAGCGGUGAAAUGCGUAGAUAUCGGAAGGAACACCUGUGGCGAAAGCGGCUCACUGGACCAUUUCUGACGCUGAUGCACGAAGGCUAGGGGAGCAAACAGGAUUAGAUACCCCCGUAGUCCCUGUCUCUUAUAC